CAGAUUGCAGGCUGCAACUCGCCUGCAUGAAGUUGGAAUUGCUAGUAAUCGCGAAUCAGAAUGUCGCGGUGAAUACGUUCCCGGGCCUUGUACACACCGCCCGUCACACCAUGAGAGUCGAUAACACCCGAAGCCUGUGAGCUAACCGUAAGGAGGCAGCAGUCGAAGGUGGGGUUGAUGAUUGGGGUGAAGUCGUAACAAGGUAUC
Molecule: ribosomal RNA, 207 nt
Filed under: uncultured bacterium
Lineage: Bacteria
Description: partial 16S ribosomal RNA
Rfam family: Bacterial small subunit ribosomal RNA
Source: RNAcentral